GAUCAUGGCUCAGGAUGAACGCUAGCGGCAGGCUUAACACAUGCAAGUCGAGGGGCAGCGGGAUGUAGCAAUACAUUGCCGGCGACCGGCGGAUGGGUGCGUAACGCGUAUGCAACCUACCUUAUACAGGGGAAUAACCUUUCGAAAGGGAGACUAACACCCCAUAGUAUUGAUUUAAGGCAUCUUAGAUUAAUUAAAUAUUUAUAGGUAUAAGAUGGGCAUGCGUAUGAUUAGCUAGUUGGUAAGGUAACGGCUUACCAAGGCGACGAUCAUUAGGGGUUCUGAGAGGAAGGUCCCCCACACUGGUACUGAGACACGGACCAGACUCCUACGGGAGGCAGCAGUGAGGAAUAUUGGUCAAUGGGCGCAAGCCUGAACCAGCCAUGCCGCGUGCAGGAAGACGGCCUUAUGGGUUGUAAACUGCUUUUACAUAAGACUAACCGUAUAUUUGCGAAUAUACCUGAAUGUAUUAUGAGAAUAAGGAUCGGCUAACUCCGUGCCAGCCGCCGC
RNAcentral lists this ribosomal RNA (510 nucleotides) under uncultured bacterium. Its description in RNAcentral is "bacterial SSU rRNA". It matches the Rfam family "Bacterial small subunit ribosomal RNA", at positions 15 to 518 of the family's 1533-position model. The record is from RNAcentral.